Molecule: non-coding RNA, 208 nt
Organism: Pelobates cultripes (western spadefoot toad)
Lineage: Eukaryota; Metazoa; Chordata; Amphibia; Anura; Pelobatidae
Source: the annotation of a GenBank genome assembly
CCCUACCCAACGGCACUCUGCGCUUCCUGACACUCAGUAAAUAAAAGUGAACACAUUAAUACUGAUAUUUUGUUACCUUUGGAGAUGAGAAGGUCCAGCGUUUCCCUGCCUGGCCCAGGUACCAAAGACUUAUGAUGUGGUGUCCAGAAUAAAGAGGAGGGUUCACUUCAUUUGUCCUUCCUGCUCCAAUCUCCUUUUCCUCUCCUUC